AUGAACGCUGGCGGCGCGCCUAAUACAUGCAAGUCGAGCGAGAAGACGUAGCAAUACGUUUGUAAAGCGGCGAACGGGUGAGGAAUACAUGGGUAACCUACCCUAGAGUGGGGAAUAACUAGCCGAAAGGUUAGCUAAUACCGCGUACGCUCCUUGGACUUCGGUUCAGGGAGGAAAGCGAUACCGAGGGUAUCGCGCUCUUGGAUGGGCUCAUGUCCUAUCAGCUUGUUGGUGAGGUAACGGCUCACCAAGGCUUCGACGGGUAGCUGGUCUGAGAGGACGAUCAGCCACACUGGCACUGCGACACGGGCCAGACUCCUACGGGAGGCAGCAGUAAGGAAUAUUGCGCAAUGGGCGAAAGCCUGACGCAGCGACGCCGCGUGGGGGAUGAAGGUCUUCGGAUUGUAAACCCCUUUCGGGAGGGAAGAUGGAACGAGCAAUCGUUCGGACGGUACCUCCAGAAGCAGCCACGGCUAACUUCGUGCCAGCCGCCGCAGUAAC
This 501-nucleotide ribosomal RNA is filed under the name uncultured bacterium. Its description in RNAcentral is "bacterial SSU rRNA". It matches the Rfam family "Bacterial small subunit ribosomal RNA", at positions 29 to 524 of the family's 1533-position model. The record is from RNAcentral.